Molecule: microRNA precursor, 98 nt
Filed under: Oryza sativa Indica Group (long-grained rice)
Lineage: Eukaryota; Viridiplantae; Streptophyta; Magnoliopsida; Poales; Poaceae
Also listed under: 1 other name
Description: mir-166 microRNA precursor
Source: RNAcentral
AAUAAGUCUGGCUAAUAUAUAUGAGAAUGGUCCGAAAAAUCUAUCUUCCAUUAUCAUCAUUACUUUUUUCUCGGAAACAUAAUCUGAACAGACCUAUU